This 451-nucleotide ribosomal RNA is filed under the name uncultured bacterium. RNAcentral's name for it is "bacterial SSU rRNA". It matches the Rfam family "Bacterial small subunit ribosomal RNA", at positions 330 to 795 of the family's 1533-position model. The record is from RNAcentral.
UCCAGACUCCUACGGGAGGCAGCAGUGGGGAAUAUUGGGCAAUGGGCGCAAGCCUGACCCAGCAACGCCGCGUGAAGGAAGAAGGCCCUCGGGUUGUAAACUUCUUUUGUCAGGGACGAAGAAAGUGACGGUACCUGACGAAUAAGCCACGGCUAACUACGUGCCAGCAGCCGCGGUAAUACGUAGGUGGCAAGCGUUAUCCGGAUUUACUGGGUGUAAAGGGCGUGUAGGCGGGAUGGUAAGUCAGAUGUGAAAACUAUAGGCUCAACCCAUAGCCUGCAUUUGAAACUAUCGUUCUUGAGUGUUGGAGAGGCAGGCGGAAUUCCGUGUGUAGCGGUGAAAUGCGUAGAUAUACGGAGGAACACCAGUGGCGAAGGCGGCCUGCUGGACAAUAACUGACGCUGAGGCGCGAAAGCGUGGGGAGCAAACAGGAUUAGAUACCCCGGUAGUG